UACGGGGGGGGUAAGCGUUGUUCGGAAUUACUGGGCGUAAAGGGUUCGUAGGUGGCCAACUAAGUCAGACGUGAAAUCCCUCAGCUUAACUGGGGAACUGCGUCUGAUACUGAUUGGCUUGAGUGCAGGAGAGGAACGCGGAAUUCCAGGUGUAGCGGUGAAAUGCGUAGAUAUCUGGAGGAACACCGGUGGCGAAGGCGGCGUUCUGGACUGCAACUGACACUGAGGAACGAAAGCCAGGGGAGCAAACGGG
This 253-nucleotide ribosomal RNA is filed under the name uncultured bacterium. Its description in RNAcentral is "partial 16S ribosomal RNA". It matches the Rfam family "Bacterial small subunit ribosomal RNA", at positions 524 to 776 of the family's 1533-position model. The record is from RNAcentral.